AGUGGUCAUUUUGUAAAGAGACUGCUGAAAAAUCUGAAGAGUGCUGCUGCAGAGCUCUGAAUGGGGGGAUAGCAACUGUCUUAACUGAUCUGGAAUCUUGAGUUUACUUUUCAGUGGACAGGAGGAGAGUCUCUCAAGGCAAAGAGAGAGAGAAAUAACACCCGAUACUCAUGUCAACAUAACUUUAUGCUCAGAGUGUAGGUGUAGGAACAGCAUCGGUAUGUAUAUGGAACAUCGGGAGAGGAAACUAUAUCGGCAUUUACAUGGAACAUGGGGAGA
Molecule: long non-coding RNA, 279 nt
Organism: Cygnus olor (mute swan)
Lineage: Eukaryota; Metazoa; Chordata; Aves; Anseriformes; Anatidae
Exons: 3
Source: RefSeq, a predicted model, not a curated record